RNAcentral lists this unclassified non-coding RNA (5288 nucleotides) under Hevea brasiliensis (rubber tree). The record is from RNAcentral. Lineage: Eukaryota; Viridiplantae; Streptophyta; Magnoliopsida; Malpighiales; Euphorbiaceae.
GGAUGGUAAAUGUGAUUCAGUAAAAUUUACAUACCCUCCCAUUUGACAAUCAAAGGCAACAGUAUAAAUUCAUUUCAAAUAGUAUACAUAAUAGUAUGAAAGCCAGCACAUUCAUGUUACAUAGUUUUCCUGUAAUUUUUCCGCCAUGGUAUCUACAGAUGAAUAGCCUAUAAUAAGGUCAACCAAAAACGGGAGAAAGACAGUUGCAAAAUUACAUCCGCUAAGAAAGUACAGGAGGAAAUGAAAAAGCACAAAAUGAAAGUUACAAGAGUCAUGUUGAAGACAGAUCUCAAGCAAUGUCUGAUCUUAAAAUAUGCUAAAUAGAGUCAUGUUGUUUUCUCUCCUCUUGUAUAGAUUGGAAAAUUCGAGCAGCUGAUUCAGUAGCAGACAUGGGGUUGUGAGGCACUACCUUGAUCACUCUUCUUGGCUGGUCAUUCUCUUGAGGCAGCGAGGCUCCUUCUGGACCAGCAGGAGCCAUUGGGAACAGUGAAAGUGCAUUUCUUCCUUCAGCAGGUUGAACAAACCCAACUCCUUGCGUCUUCUCACUGGGACUACUUGCUGUACUUCCCAGUAGCUCAGUGUCUUUUGAUGCCUGGAACUUCGUAACUUGUGGAAUGCUCUUCUGGGUUGGCACAUUACAUGAGCUUUGAUGUUGCAUAUUAAAGUUUGCUCCCCCUCCUGAUAACUGACCAGUUUGACCAUACAAACCAGAUCCUGCAAAGUAGUUCAUUUGUUCCACUGCUGAACAUGAGAUGCCUGGAUUCAUGACUGGCAUGCCAUAUGGAGGGAAGUAACAAUGAACACCUGGAGGAACAAAUGGUGAGGCCCCAGUUCCUUGAUGGUGAGGAUGAGAAGCUGGAAUCCCAUAGGCUGGAUUCAUAAAGCUACCAUUCAGAGGAGUUGGCCCAAAAGGUGCACAUCCUCCACACGGUGAACCCAUGAAUCCCGGCGCAGUGUAUGGCUUGUAUACAAGUCCUUCUGAAGGAGACAUCACUGGAAUUAACCACUGAUGCCCAAGUGAAUGAUGGAAACACCAAGGACCCACUUUGGGAUCAGUAGACACAGGAACUGGUAGUGGGUUCCCAAUGUAAGACCCAUAAUUAGAGGGCUGACUACCACUUUUCACAGAAGAAAGUGAUGUCUUCCCAACUGCAUUCUCUGCUGAGCAUUCCAUCUUAUGGUUUGGUUUCUCACAAUCUCCUUUGCGCUUGGCGACAUGCACUGGAGGUGCUACCACAUACUGUGAAGGAAGUUUCUCUGCAGGAGAAACCUUAGUAGAAUGUUUCCCCAGAUAAGUUAUGUCUUGAAGCAAAAGAUUUGGCGACGCAGCAAUCAGUCGUUGAACCUGCAUAAAAAUAAAUAUUUAAGAUAUUUUCCUUCUAAUCAAUUAUACAUAUAUCCAUAAAAUGUUCAUUGAAUCCAAUCCCAGAAGUUGAAGCUACUUGAUAGGGUCCAAGAAAAUCUUACCUUUAUCAGUCUAUGCAACUCAAACACUUGCCAUGCAAACAAUCUUUGUUGACUGUAGAAAGUAACAAGGGUUGGAUCAAGAACAUAAACCACAUCUUUAAAAAUGAAUCUACAGUAAGCAUAGAGAUGAAUCCAAAGAAUCAGCCCAACAUUAAUUCACAAUCUGGCAGGACAGUAAACUUUAAAGGACCUCCAUGGUCAAAAUUCGGACUGGGGAAGUAGUUCUGCGGAUAUGUAGUGCCAUUGAGGCAUUCUUUGAACGGAUCAAUUAAAAAUCCAUGAUUAAGUUCAUUUUUUAUACAUGAUUUUGCAAGAAUACUAUGCAUUACAAAACUUUGGCAAAUUUCCAAACAAGGAUAACCUGUAAUUACACAACUGUACAGAAUGUAAAAGCUUUUAGCACUGAAUAAAUAUGAUGAGAUUCAAAAAAAGUACAUGUUUGCAGUUCACUGCUGUAAAAGCAUCAAAUGCCAUUAAUGAUUGUGAAAAUUUACACAGAAAAUUCCUGUAUGCCAAAAACUAUCUUCAAUACGACAAAAUCAGGUAUGAAGCUAAAUGCAAGAUAAGGUUCUGCAAUUACAACAUGUAAAUAUUAUACAGCUCUCUUCAUAAUUUUAUAGGUAUAUUAUUAAUUUAAUCAACAAAAAAAAAAUGAAAACAUUUACAUGCACAAGCUGUACACAGAGAGAAUCACAAGAUAAAGAAUGGGCACAAAAAUAUGAAUCCUAGCCCUAUAAAUCCAACUUAGAACACCACGAGACUAUUAUGGUUGCCACCAUGUCCACCACUAAUUGUCAAUAAGCCCAAUUAUAGUGCUGGGAACCAUCCUCCACCACCUGUUGCCUCCUUGCUCCAAGCCCUUGAGUGCCACAGAUGGGAAAAAUCUUGAAUGAUAGCAGGGAAAAGAAAGCUACAUCAAACCGAGACAGGAGAUCCAAAAGCAUAAUGAUUGAUGAGAAGACCCACUGUCUCGGAGGCAACUUGAACAAAGUACCACAAUUAGUACUGUCCAUCUCCCUGCCGUAAGAUGAUCCACCAUUUGCCAUCAAGGGCCUUUGAACACACAAAAAUGCCAGUUGGAAUGGAUCCAGGGACUCCACACUAUUGAAUUCUCCCUCGCUCACAGCCAUGAAUACAACUCCAGUUCAAAACAGAGAAUCAUUUGAUAUUCCUAAAGUUAGUAUUCCACCACACAUUUCAACAAUCUAAUUCAGCUUCAUAUUGGGCGAAUAGGAAGAACACUGAUACCAAGAACAAAAAAUUGCAGAAGCUUCUUAUAUACCAUUUUAUCAAUUCCCUUUUCUGGGGAAAAAUAAUUUAGUUUCACAAAUCCUGUUCAAGUAAACAUAGUGGACAUCCAAAGUUCCAGUCUACGAACCUUAGUCAACAGCAAUAAUUACUAGCCCAAGAACAGAAGUGACUUGCAUAAAACAAUAUGAUAAAAUUUAAAGUGGAAGUAGCUAUCACAAAGCUCUUGCAACUGUUUAUAAGCAAUGUGUUAGAUGCGAACAAAAAGGAGCAAAUAAUCUAAGUUGAUGGGGAAGGGAGGGAAGAGAUAAAGAUUUCCGUACAGCAUAAAGAAUCAGAAUAAAGAAAUGGGAGAAAAUGGUAUUCUCUUGUUUUCUUCUAACAAUUUUAAUUUUCAGUUUGCAUCCUCUCACCAUAAAUAUUGGCCCAAAGCCCUAUGUUUGUAUAUAGGUUGAGUUUUUCCAUGUUCUUAAUUUCUCAUUUUUCCUCCCUUUCUUUAAUAAACAUACAAAUAUAAAUAUCAAACCAGAAAUCACAACGAGUGUUAUUAAGAAAAUGACCCUAAUGGUGUCCUUCAUUUAUAAGAGUGAAUACCUAGCUAGGAAGUUACUACAAUCAGAAUAAAUAAUCAAAUUCUGUACCAUCAUAAAAAUUUGAGGGCUUGUUUAGGAUCAACUUUGUUUUCUAUUUUUGGUUGUUGUCAAAUACUGAACAUUUGCAUUUUGAAAACUCAGUUGAUGGAAAAGGUAAAAACUACUUUUUACGGUUUUCACUUGUUCACAAAACCAAGUGUGUUUUAGAAAUAUAAUUUUGUUUGACAGCCAGACAGCACAAACCAGAAACUAAAACGUCCAUGCCAAACGCCCUAAAUUUGUCAAGAACUCAAGAUCCAGUGAUAUAGAGUAGCUAUAAAUAAUUAUGAAGACUUACUUGACAAUUGCCCUUCUUGCUUUCCAGAAAUGUUUCUGACCGAUAAUUCCAACAAUAUCAUCAGGAGAAAUAUCCAAUGCUGAUAUAGAAUCCACCAUAGAGGUCUCAGAGACAUCAUCACUUUUGUCUUCAUUUCCCAAUUGUAGUGACCUACAUGUCUUGUCUCCACAAAAUUCACUAUCAAUUUCAGGCUCAUUGAGACUAUCAAGAUCCUCCCUUGAAUGAGAGUCACUUCUUGACCGGGGAAUGUUAUCUUUCUCUGUUUCUGUUGUAAGCUCAGGAACAUCUUCACCGUGUACGCUGCCAUUUUGUUGCAAACAAUCAUCACUUUCAGACAAUUUGUUAAAACUAGAUCUAAGUUGACCUUCAUUUUGUUGAUCCAAAGAUUCAUCCCCAGGCCUAUCUAUCCUUUCCCUAGUUGGUAAAUUCAUUGAAGAUCUUCCUGAAUUAUCCCUACUUGAGACACACACCUCCAGGCUACCGUCACUAUGAUUUCUUGCAUCCUGUCUCAAAUUGGGACCUCUGAAGAUAUUAUUAUUUUUAUUAGCAUUGCCAGCAUUUUGUAUUUUUCUUGAACCCAAGUAAUUUUGGCUGAAAGAAGUGAACUUUUCCCCAUCAAUGCCAUUCUGAUUUUUAUGAAGACAUUGGUCUAUCCCAGAUUGAACGAAUACAGGUACUGUGAAAUCAUCUUCAUCUCCUACCUUCUUCCUCUGCUUAAGUUGGGCUGAUGAAGCAUUUGAGUUUCCUCCAUCACGCUGGUGAGAAUGGAGCCUCUCAUCCCUAUGAGAGGGUGUAGGAUAAGCAUGAAGUGGGACAGGCAAAUUUCUUUCAAAGCCACUCCCCUGACUUGAGGAUCCAGCAGGAACCAAGUUGCUAGCUUUGCUGGUGUUGAGAGGCAAAACACCAUGGUUAAACCUCUGAGAAGGAAUACUGAGCUGCUCGUAAAGGGCCAUCUUGUUCCUUGGAGGUGCUCUUGGCCCUCCUUUCUCGGUAUUAUUGACAUGAAGCCUAGGGAACAUAGGCCCCAUUUUCUUUUCAUCAUCAUUCCCUCUCUUCAUCUCCUUUAUCUAUCGCUCAAACGUGAGGCAAACCCAUAACCAAAAAACUUAAUUUCUCAUUUAGCUCAACGGAUGAAGUAACCUCCCAAAAAAACAAAACUUUUUUUGAAACCCAGUUGCAGAAACUGAAUAUUUUGAAACUCAAAUACUCACAUCAGCGGUUAUCUUCAAAAACAGAUCAGUUCCUCAGGGACAUGCAACAAUUUAUACUUCAAAAUCAAAACCCAGUAGCAGAAUUUAUCAAACCCAAAAAUCAAAACAAACUCUAACUUAUACCAAUGCAAGUGAAUUCUCAAGUACCCAAAAGACCAAGCCUCAAGAAUACGAGAAAGACCCAGAUGCAGGAGGUCGGUUCUCUAUUAACAAAAUAGCGAGGGUUAACAGGGCUUGAGGCUGCAAUUGAUUAGGUAAAGAAAUGGGAGAUUGAAUUAAGGUAAAAGGAGACAGAAAUCUAUGAGAAGGACAAAAAGAUUCGAGAAGAGCGAUGGGAUUGGCCUGAAUGGUAAAUGGGACAUUAGGGAUUCCAAGUAGAUCAUCGAAAGGCAGAAAAAGCGCAAUUGUGAGACCCUUCUGGAUGCCCUUUUG